GACGAACGCUGGCGGCAUGCCUAACACAUGCAAGUCGAACGGGGAUAGCAAUAUCCUAGUGGCGAACGGGUGAGUAACGCGUGAGUAACCUGCCUCAUACAACGGGAUACCCGAGGGAAACUUCGGUUAAUACGGUAUAAGACCACACUACCGCAUGGUAGAGGGGUAAAAGGGGCAACCUGGUAUGAGAUGGACUCGCGUCGCAUUAGCUAGUUGGUGAGGUAACGGCCCACCAAGGCGACGAUGCGUAGCCGACCUGAGAGGGUGAUCGGCCACAUUGGGACUGAGAUACGGCCCAG
RNAcentral lists this ribosomal RNA (299 nucleotides) under uncultured bacterium. RNAcentral's name for it is "partial 16S ribosomal RNA". It matches the Rfam family "Bacterial small subunit ribosomal RNA", at positions 28 to 334 of the family's 1533-position model. The record is from RNAcentral.